Molecule: ribosomal RNA, 460 nt
Filed under: uncultured bacterium
Lineage: Bacteria
Description: partial 16S ribosomal RNA
Rfam family: Bacterial small subunit ribosomal RNA
Source: RNAcentral
CCUACGGGAGGCAGCAGUGAGGAAUAUUGGUCAAUGGACGAGCGUCUGAACCAGCCAAGUAGCGUGAAGGAUGACUGCCCUAUGGGUUGUAAACUUCUUUUAUAUGGGAAUAAAAUGUUCCACGUGUGGGAUUUUGUAUGUACCAUAUGAAUAAGGAUCGGCUAACUCCGUGCCAGCAGCCGCGGUAAUACGUAGGAUCCGAUCGUUAUCCGGAUUUAUUGGGUUUAAAGGGAGCGUAGGUGGAUUGUUAAGUCAGUUGUGAACGUUAGCGGCUCAACCGUAAAAUUGCAGUUGAAACUGGCAGUCGUGAGUACAGUAGAGGUGGGCGGAAUGCGUGGUGUAGCGGUGAAAUGCUGAGAUAUCACGAAGAACUCCGAUUGCGAAGGCAGCUCACUGGACUGCAACUGACACUGAGGCUCGAAAGUGUGGGUAUCAAACAGGAUUAGAUACCCGAGUAGUC